GACGAACGCUGGCGGCGUGCCUAACACAUGCAAGUCGAACGGGGCGAUUCCUUCGGGGAUCGCUUAGUGGCGAACGGGUGAGUAACGCGUGAGGAACCUGCCUUUCAGUGGGGGACAACAGUUGGAAACGACUGCUAAUACCGCAUAACAUGUACGGAUCGCAUGGUCUGUACAUCAAAGCUUUAUGUGCUGAAAGAUGGCCUCGCGUCUGAUUAGCUAGUUGGUGGGGUAACGGCCCACCAAGGCGACGAUCAGUAGCCGGUCUGAGAGGAUGAACGGCCACAUUGGGACUGAGAUACGGCCCAGACUCCUACGGGAGGCAGCAGUGGGAAUAUUGGGCAAUGGGGGGAAACCCUGACCCAGCAACGCCGCGUGAAGGAAGAAGGCCCUCGGGGUUGUAAACUUCUUUUACCAGGGACGAAGAACGUGACGGUACCUGGAGAAAAAGCCACGGCUAACUACGUG
Molecule: ribosomal RNA, 465 nt
Filed under: uncultured bacterium
Lineage: Bacteria
Description: bacterial SSU rRNA
Rfam family: Bacterial small subunit ribosomal RNA
Source: RNAcentral